This 336-nucleotide unclassified non-coding RNA is filed under the name soil metagenome. RNAcentral describes it as "partial contains 5.8S ribosomal RNA, internal transcribed spacer 2, and large subunit ribosomal RNA". The stretch from base 1 to 120 matches the Rfam family "5.8S ribosomal RNA", at positions 35 to 154 of the family's 154-position model. The record is from RNAcentral.
GAUGAAGAACGCAGCGAAAUGCGAUAAGUAAUUUGAAUUGCAGAAUUCAGUGAAUCAUCGAAUCUUUGAACGCACAUUGCGCCCGCCAGUAUUCUGGCGGGCAUGCCUGUUCGAGCGUCAUUUCAACCAUCAAGCCCCAGGCUUGUGUUGGGGACCUGCGGCUGCCGCAGGCCCUGAAAACCAGUGGCGGGCUCGCUGUCACACCGGGCGUAGUAGAUUUUAUCUCGCUCAGGGCGUGCUGCGGGUUCCGGCCGUUAAAAAGCCUUUUUUACCCAAGGUUGACCUCGGAUCAGGUAGGAAGACCCGCUGAACUUAAGCAUAUCAAUAAGCGGAGGA